This is a non-coding RNA of Caenorhabditis elegans, 73 nucleotides long. NCBI's taxonomy places the organism in Eukaryota, Metazoa, Nematoda, Chromadorea, Rhabditida, Rhabditidae. The record is from Ensembl.
CGUGCCACGAGGUGGUCGACUGACGGCUGACUGAUCGAUAGAUAAGGUCUUAUUAUGGUUUUAUCAUAAAUAU